This 207-nucleotide ribosomal RNA is filed under the name Mycolicibacterium fortuitum. RNAcentral describes it as "partial 16S ribosomal RNA". It matches the Rfam family "Bacterial small subunit ribosomal RNA", at positions 19 to 230 of the family's 1533-position model. Lineage: Bacteria; Bacillati; Actinomycetota; Actinomycetes; Mycobacteriales; Mycobacteriaceae. The record is from RNAcentral.
CUGGCUCAGGACGAACGCUGGCGGCGUGCUUAACACAUGCAAGUCGAACGGAAAGGCCCUUCGGGGUACUCGAGUGGCGAACGGGUGAGUAACACGUGGGUGAUCUGCCCUGCACUUUGGGAUAAGCCUGGGAAACUGGGUCUAAUACCGAAUAUGACCACGCGCUUCAUGGUGUGUGGUGGAAAGCUUUUGCGGUGUGGGAUGGGC